AACAAACGCUGGCGGCGUGCCUAAUACAUGCCAGUCGAACGGGGUAGCAAUACCUAGUGGCGCACGGGUGAGUAACGCGUGGAUAAUCUGCCUUAGAGUGGGGGAUAACUAGUCGAAAGAUUAGCUAAUACCGCAUAAGACCACAAGAGCUGCGGCUCAAGGGGUCAAAGGUUUUUCGCUCUAAGAUGAGUCCGCGUAAGAUUAGCUAGUUGGUGAGGUAAUGGCUCACCAAGGCGACGAUCUUUAACUGGUCUGAGAGGAUGAUCAGUCACACUGGAACUGAGACACGGUCCAGACUCCUACGGGAGGCAGCAGUAGGGAAUAUUGCACAAUGGAGGAAACUCUGAUGCAGCGACGCCGCGUGAGUGAUGAAGGCCUUCGGGUCGUAAAGCUCUGUCGCAGGGGAAUAACACAAUGAAUGUACCCUGUAAGAAAGGAUCGGCUAACUUCGUG
RNAcentral lists this ribosomal RNA (453 nucleotides) under uncultured bacterium. RNAcentral describes it as "partial 16S ribosomal RNA". It matches the Rfam family "Bacterial small subunit ribosomal RNA", at positions 29 to 507 of the family's 1533-position model. The record is from RNAcentral.